CUUAUAAUGUCCCGACAUCUAUCCGAUGGUAUAAUUAUGAUGAUAGAUCGCUAUAAAUGNGUAUGAGCGUUCAGAUCCAUAACAAAUUCUUUAUAUGGUUAUAAUAGUGGAAAUCGGAUUUAAUGCCGAUUCUACACAUAUGGUAUUGAUAGUUGUGGUAUUCUCGAACCGUUCUUUAUCAUCAGUCAACGGCGUUUAUGUUUUGGGUAAUUACAGGACCCGUCUUGAAACACGGACC
RNAcentral lists this ribosomal RNA (238 nucleotides) under Calathus distinguendus. RNAcentral's name for it is "partial 28S ribosomal RNA". The record is from RNAcentral. Lineage: Eukaryota; Metazoa; Arthropoda; Insecta; Coleoptera; Carabidae.